RNAcentral lists this small RNA (28 nucleotides) under Bombyx mori (domestic silkworm). RNAcentral's name for it is "ovarian small RNA-35085". Lineage: Eukaryota; Metazoa; Arthropoda; Insecta; Lepidoptera; Bombycidae. The record is from RNAcentral.
UGGUACAGUCGUUAAGCUGGGAUGCCAU